GACAGCCAGGAUGUUGGCUUAGAAGCAGCCAUCAUUUAAAGAAAGCGUAAUAGCUCACUGGUCGAGUCGGCCUGCGCGGAAGAUGUAACGGGGCUAAACCAUGCACCGAAGCUGCGGCAGCGACACUGUGUGUUGUUGGGUAGGGGAGCGUUCUGUAAGCCUGUGAAGGUGUGCUGUGAGGCAUGCUGGAGGUAUCAGAAGUGCGAAUGCUGACAUAAGUAACGAUAAAGCGGGUGAAAAGCCCGCUCGCCGGAAGACCAAGGGUUCCUGUCCAACGUUAAUCGGGGCAGGGUGAGUCGACCCCUAAGGCGAGGCCGAAAGGCGUAGUCGAUGGGAAACAGGUUAAUAUUCCUGUACUUGGUGUUACUGCGAAGGGGGGACGGAGAAGGCUAUGUUGGCCGGGCGACGGUUGUCCCGGUUUAAGCGUGUAGGCUGAUUUUCCAGGCAAAUCCGGAAAACUAAGGCUGAGGCGUGAUGACGAGGCACUACGGUGCUGAAGCAACAAAUGCCCUGCUUCCAGGAAAAGCCUCUAAGCAUCAGGUAACNCAUCAAAUCGUACCCCAAACCGACACAGGUGGUCAGGUAGAGAAUACCAAGGCGCUUGAGAGAACUCGGGUGAAGGAACUAGGCAAAAUGGUGCCGUAACUUCGGGAGAAGGCACGCUGAUAUGUAGGUGAAGUCCCUCGCGGAUGGAGCUGAAAUCAGUCGAAGAUACCAGCUGGCUGCAACUGUUUAUUAAAAACACAGCACUGUGCAAACACGAAAGUGGACGUAUACGGUGUGACGCCUGCCCGGUGCCGGAAGGUUAAUUGAUGGGGUUAGCGGUAACGCGAAGCUCUUGAUCGAAGCCCCGGUAAACGGCGGCCGUAACUAUAACGGUCCUAAGGUAGCGAAAUUCCUUGUCGGGUAAGUUCCGACCUGCACGAAUGGCGUAAUGAUGGCCAGGCUGUCUCCACCCGAGACUCAGUGAAAUUGAACUCGCUGUGAAGAUGCAGUGUACCCGCGGCAAGACGGAAAGACCCCGUGAACCUUUACUAUAGCUUGACACUGAACAUUGAGCCUUGAUGUGUAGGAUAGGUGGGAGGCUUUGAAGUGUGGACGCCAGUCUGCAUGGAGCCGGCCUUGAAAUACCACCCUUUAAUGUUUGAUGUUCUAACGUUGGCCCCUGAUCGGGGUUGCGGACAGUGUCUGGUGGGUAGUUUGACUGGGGCGGUCUCCUCCUAAAGAGUAACGGAGGAGCACGAAGGUUGGCUAAUCCUGGUCGGACAUCAGGAGGUUAGUGCAAUGGCAUAAGCCAGCUUGACUGCGAGCGUGACGGCGCGAGCAGGUGCGAAAGCAGGUCAUAGUGAUCCGGUGGUUCUGAAUGGAAGGGCCAUCGCUCAACGGAUAAAAGGUACUCCGGGGAUAACAGGCUGAUACCGCCCAAGAGUUCAUAUCGACGGCGGUGUUUGGCACCUCGAUGUCGGCUCAUCACAUCCUGGGGCUGAAGUAGGUCCCAAGGGUAUGGCUGUUCGCCAUUUAAAGUGGUACGCGAGCUGGGUUUAGAACGUCGUGAGACAGUUCGGUCCCUAUCUGCCGUGGGCGCUGGAGAACUGAGGGGGGCUGCUCCUAGUACGAGAGGACCGGAGUGGACGCAUCACUGGUGUUCGGGUUGUCAUGCCAAUGGCACUGCCCGGUAGCUAAAUGCGGAAGAGAUAAGUGCUGAAAGCAUCUAAGCACGAAACUUGCCCCGAGAUGAGUUCUCCCUGACUCCUUGAGAGUCCUGAAGGAACGUUGAAGACGACGACGUUGAUAGGCCGGGUGUGUAAGCGCAGCGAUGCGUUGAGCUAACCGGUACUAAUGAACCGUGAGGCUUAACCUU
RNAcentral lists this ribosomal RNA (1861 nucleotides) under Escherichia coli. Its description in RNAcentral is "bacterial LSU rRNA". It matches the Rfam family "Bacterial large subunit ribosomal RNA", at positions 1088 to 2925 of the family's 2925-position model. The record is from RNAcentral. Lineage: Bacteria; Pseudomonadati; Pseudomonadota; Gammaproteobacteria; Enterobacterales; Enterobacteriaceae.